RNAcentral lists this ribosomal RNA (495 nucleotides) under uncultured bacterium. Its description in RNAcentral is "partial 16S ribosomal RNA". It matches the Rfam family "Bacterial small subunit ribosomal RNA", at positions 29 to 506 of the family's 1533-position model. The record is from RNAcentral.
AUGAACGCUGGCGGCGUGCCUAAUACAUGCAAGUCGAGCGAACAGACGAGGAGCUUGCUCCUCUGACGUUAGCGGCGGACGGGUGAGUAACACGUGGAUAACCUACCUAUAAGACUGGGAUAACUUCGGGAAACCGGAGCUAAUACCGGAUAAUAUAUUGAACCGCAUGGUUCAAUAGUGAAAGACGGUUUUGCUGUCACUUAUAGAUGGAUCCGCGCCGCAUUAGCUAGUUGGUAAGGUAACGGCUUACCAAGGCAACGAUGCGUAGCCGACCUGAGAGGGUGAUCGGCCACACUGGAACUGAGACACGGUCCAGACGCCUACGGGAGGCAGCAGUAGGGAAUCUUCCGCAAUGGGCGAAAGCUUGACGGAGCAACGCCGCGUGAGUGAUGAAGGUCUUCGGAUCGUAAAACUCUGUUAUUAGGGAAGAACAAAUGUGUAAGUAACUAUGCACGUCUUGACGGUACCUAAUCAGAAAGCCACGGCUAACUACGU